CCUCUUUAAUUAAGAGCGCAUUGUUCUGUGGGAAAGGACGGAGCAGGAAGCGCUUCCUGACUCUCUGCCAGCUCAGAUCGGGUUUCUCUGUUAAGCUCCGGGCCAGUAAUGGAAGCGAGUCGAGCUUGUCAACAGAUGCUGCGCCGCGGGAUCCGUGUCUCGUCCGAUGAAGCGCAAAAGCCAUUUCCUGUGGCUUACGGAGGAUAAGAAGUCUUGGAUCCGUGCUGCAUUGUUCUGCUUGAAGAUGCUCUAGUUUGCGAGGAAACCGUCCCGUUGCUUUGGCCCGUUGCCUGGUUACCGCCUCCACCUGGACCAGCAUACGGCCACAGCGUGUCGCGCUCCGUGAGAAACGAGCGGAGCGGCCAAAGCGUCCCGGCGCGCUCGUGCGAGACUUUGCUCAUCUCGGUCCCAGACGGGCGUCUUCAAUCAAAGCACUCUCAUUUAAGUCUUGGCCUCAGAGGUAAAACGAGCUUAUAAAAAACAGACACGCGCAAACAAACACUUCUUGGGCCCUGACAGCGCUGAUUCAUGCCCUGAUCACUCGGCGGAGCCGCCGUAAGUUCGUUUGAAGGGUGAUGAGCGCAUCAGAAUGCAGAGGACGUGACGUCUCAUCUGGAUUCGACCUCGCUAAAUGAGCUGGAAAGCUCUCCAUUCAAUUCUGUCACGGAUCGCUCAAGACCCGACGCGUCGUCUGUUUGAGCUGAAGGAUGAAUAGUCGUUUCGUGUGAGGAUGGGGCUCGCCGCGUCUGAAUGUAGUUUCCUGUAAAUGCGCCAGACUUUUGACCCUCGGAUGUAGGACUCUCUCGUGUGUGUUUUCUCUCUUCGUUAGACUUGCGUCGGCGAUCUCGCAGCCUCCCGGGCUUCAGAAGUCCUUACGACGGAAGAAUGCGUGGAGUAAUUAGUGAUACACUUAGAGAGACUGCAAUUAGCUAAUUAUAUGAGAGAGACACAGAUAGCUCUAAAAACAAACAUCA
This is a long non-coding RNA of Puntigrus tetrazona (Sumatra barb), 974 nucleotides long. RefSeq lists it as uncharacterized. The record is from RefSeq and is a predicted model, not a curated record. The transcript is spliced from 3 exons. NCBI's taxonomy places the organism in Eukaryota, Metazoa, Chordata, Actinopteri, Cypriniformes, Cyprinidae.